GAUGAACGCUAGCGGCAGGCUUAACACAUGCAAGUCGAGGGGUAACAGGGAAGAGCUUGCUUUUCCGCUGACGACCGGCGCACGGGUGCGUAACGCGUAUAGAACCUACCUUUUACAGGGGAAUAGCCCAGAGAAAUUUGGAUUAAUGCCCCAUAGUAUUAUUGAAUGGCAUCAUUUAAUAAUUAAACAUUUAUGGGUAAAAGAUGGCUAUGCGUUCUAUUAGCUAGAUGGUAAGGUAACGGCUUACCAUGGCAACGAUAGAUAGGGGUCCUGAGAGGGAGAUCCCCCACACUGGUACUGAGACACGGACCAGACUCCUACGGGAGGCAGCAGUGAGGAAUAUUGGACAAUGGAGGCAACUCUGAUCCAGCCAUGCCGCGUGCAGGAAGACGGUCCUAUGGAUUGUAAACUGCUUUUAUAUAGGAAGAAACCUUUCCACGUGUGGAAAGCUGACGGUACUAUAAGAAUAAGCACCGGCUAACUCCGUGCCAGCAGCCGCGGUAAUACGGAGGGUGCAAGCGUUAUCCGGAAUCAUUGGGUUUAAAGGGUCCGUAGGCGGACUAAUAAGUCAGGGGUGAAAUCCAACAGCUUAACUGUUGAACUGCCUUUGAUACUGUUAGUCUUGAGUUAUAUGGAAGUAGAUAGAAUAUGUAGUGUAGCGGUGAAAUGCUUAGAGAUUACAUAGAAUACCGAUUGCGAA
This 700-nucleotide ribosomal RNA is filed under the name Lutibacter sp. RNAcentral's name for it is "bacterial SSU rRNA". It matches the Rfam family "Bacterial small subunit ribosomal RNA", at positions 28 to 719 of the family's 1533-position model. The record is from RNAcentral. Lineage: Bacteria; Pseudomonadati; Bacteroidota; Flavobacteriia; Flavobacteriales; Flavobacteriaceae.